This 72-nucleotide transfer RNA is filed under the name Gobio macrocephalus. Its description in RNAcentral is "tRNA-Thr". Lineage: Eukaryota; Metazoa; Chordata; Actinopteri; Cypriniformes; Gobionidae. The record is from RNAcentral.
GCCCUAGUAGCUUAGUCUAAAAGCAUUUGUUUUGUAAUCCGAAGAUCGGAGGCCACUAUUCUCCCUAGCGCC